Molecule: ribosomal RNA, 522 nt
Filed under: uncultured bacterium
Lineage: Bacteria
Description: partial 16S ribosomal RNA
Rfam family: Bacterial small subunit ribosomal RNA
Source: RNAcentral
UGGGGAAUAUUGCGCAAUGGGGGAACCCGUGACGCAGCGACGCCGCGUGAGUGAAGAAGGCUUUCGGGUCGUAAAGCUCUUAUCUGCGGGAAGAAGAGACGGUACCGCAGGAGAAAGCCCCGGCUAACUACGUGCCAGCAGCCGCGGUAAUACGUAGGGGGCAAGCGUUGUCCGGAGUAACUGGGCGUAAAGGGCGCGUAGGCGGAAUAAUAAGUCAGUUGUGAAAGAUAUGGGCUCAACUCAUAGAACGCAUCUGAAACUGUUAAAUCUGGAGUAUAGGAGAGGGAAACGGAAUUCCUGGUGUAGCGGUGAAAUGCGUAGAGAUCAGGAAGAACAUCAGUGGCGAAGGCGGUUUCCUGGCCUAAAACUGACGCUGAAGCGCGAAAGCAUGGGUAGCGAACAGGAUUAGAUACCCUGGUAGUCCACGCUGUAAACGAUGUCGAUUUUGGAGGUUGUGCCCUUGAGGCGUGGCUUCCGGAGCUAACGCGUUAAAUCGACCGCCUGGGGAGUACGGCCGCAAGG